Molecule: ribosomal RNA, 372 nt
Filed under: uncultured organism
Description: partial 16S ribosomal RNA
Rfam family: Bacterial small subunit ribosomal RNA
Source: RNAcentral
GUAGGUGGCAAGCGUUGUCCGGAAUUAUUGGGCGUAAAGCGCGCGCAGGCGGUUCUUUAAGUCUGGUGUGAAAGCCCACGGCUCAACCGUGGAGGGUCAUUGGAAACUGGAGAACUUGAGUACAGAAGAGGAAAGCGGAAUUCCACGUGUAGCGGUGGAAUGCGUAGAGAUGUGGAGGAACACCAGUGGCGAAGGCGGCUUUCUGGUCUGUAACUGACGCUGAGGCGCGAAAGCGUGGGGAGCAAACAGGGAUUAGAUACCCUGGUAGUCCACGCCGUAAACGAUGAGUGCUAAGUGUUAGGGGGUUUCCCGCCCCUUAGUGCUGCAGCUAACGCAUUAAGCACUCCGCCUGGGGAUACGGCCGCAAGGCUG